GUGACUUAGUGUUUACGGCCGUGGUAUCUUAACCAUGCGAAGGUAGCGUAAUCACUUGUCUUUUAAAUGAAGACCCGUAUGAAUGGCAAAACGAGGGCUUAACUGUCUCCCUUCCCUAGUCAAUGAAAUUAACUUCCCCGUGCAGAGGCGGGGAUAAAAAUAUAAGACGAGAAGACCCUGUGGAGCUUUAAACAUAGAAUAAUUAUAUUUAAUAAACUUCAUUACGAGUAAAACCUUAAUAAAACUUAUUUGAGUGUUUUUGGUUGGGGUGACCACGGGGUAAAACACAACCCCCAUGAAGAUAGGGGCCACACUCCCUAACACUCAGAAUCACCUUUCUAAGUAACAAAACCUUUGACUUUAAUAUGAUCCGGCUAUUGGCCGAUUAACGAACUCAGUUACCCCAGGGAUAACAGCGCAAUCCCCUCUCAGAGCCCCUAUCGACAAGGGGGUUUACGACCUCGAUGUUGGAUC
This 474-nucleotide ribosomal RNA is filed under the name Lepidorhynchus denticulatus. Its description in RNAcentral is "partial small subunit ribosomal RNA". It matches the Rfam family "Bacterial large subunit ribosomal RNA", at positions 1913 to 2538 of the family's 2925-position model. The record is from RNAcentral. Lineage: Eukaryota; Metazoa; Chordata; Actinopteri; Gadiformes; Macrouridae.